This 472-nucleotide ribosomal RNA is filed under the name uncultured bacterium. Its description in RNAcentral is "bacterial SSU rRNA". It matches the Rfam family "Bacterial small subunit ribosomal RNA", at positions 355 to 825 of the family's 1533-position model. The record is from RNAcentral.
UGGGGAAUUUUGGACAAUGGGCGAAAGCCUGAUCCAGCCAUGCCGCGUGCAGGAUGAAGGCCUUCGGGUUGUAAACUGCUCUUGUACGGAACGAAAAGACUCCUUCUAAUAAAGGGGGUCCAUGACGGUACCGUAAGAAUAAGCACCGGCUAACUACGUGCCAGCAGCCGCGGUAAUACGUAGGGUGCAAGCGUUAAUCGGAAUUACUGGGCGUAAAGCGUGCGCAGGCGGUUAUAUAAGACAGAUGUGAAAUCCCCGGGCUCAACCUGGGAACUGCAUUUGUGACUGUAUAGCUAGAGUACGGUAGAGGGGGAUGGAAUUCCGCGUGUAGCAGUGAAAUGCGUAGAUAUGCGGAGGAACACCGAUGGCGAAGGCAAUCCCCUGGACCUGUACUGACGCUCAUGCACGAAAGCGUGGGGAGCAAACAGGAUUAGAUACCCAAGUAGUCCCUGAGCGGGCUGGCAAGGCGCAU